GACGAACGCUGGCGGCGUGCUUAACACAUGCAAGUCGAACGGAAAGGCCCUGAUUUUGUGGGGUGCUCGAGUGGCGAACGGGUGAGUAACACGUGAGUAACCUGCCCUUGAAUUUGGGAUAACUUCAGGAAACUGGGGCUAAUACCGGAUAGGAGCUCCUGCUGCAUGGGGGGGGUUGGAAAGUUUCGGCCGUUGGGGAUGGAUUCGCGGCUUAUCCGCCUGUUGGUGGGGUAGGGGAUUACCAAGGUUUUGAGUGGUAGGCGGCCUUGGAGGGUGACCGGCGACAUUGGGACUACGAGAGGCCCCAGUAGCCUACGGGAGGCAGCAGGGGGGAACAUUGCGGAAUGGGCGGAAGCCUGAUGCAGCAACGCCGGGUGCGGGAUGACGGCCUUCGGGUUGUAAACCGCUUUCGCCGGUGACGAAGCGUUAUUGACGGUAAUGAGUAAAGAAGCACCGGCUAACUACGUG
Molecule: ribosomal RNA, 468 nt
Filed under: uncultured bacterium
Lineage: Bacteria
Description: partial 16S ribosomal RNA
Rfam family: Bacterial small subunit ribosomal RNA
Source: RNAcentral